Octopus sinensis (East Asian common octopus) is the source of this 669-nucleotide long non-coding RNA. RefSeq lists it as uncharacterized. NCBI's taxonomy places the organism in Eukaryota, Metazoa, Mollusca, Cephalopoda, Octopoda, Octopodidae. The record is from RefSeq and is a predicted model, not a curated record. The transcript is spliced from 2 exons.
CAAGAACUUAAAUUUUGACGACACCGUAUCAAAACAAAACUAACUCCAUUUUCGGAAGAGCUCCACGAACUAUCACCUUGAAAAAUUAGAAAGAAAUCAACAUGGCCAGGCGGCCCCUGUCUCGGUUCACGAAAAUCAAUAUCGGAUGGGGUAUUCUCGUUGUGGUUGGCAUAACAAGUUUUGCUGUUGCCAGGACAUUGGUUCAAAACCAGCGCUAUGAAGUGAUGAAGAGCAAACAGAGAGUUCGAGAUGCCUGUAAACAAGAUGUUUUGGAGGCAGCGGCUAAAACAUUAUCCUAGCAUUUGCACAAUAUACACCAAGUGCAUCUAGUUUUCAUGAUUUGCUGGAGAACUAUUUAGAAUGAAGCCAGUAUCAGCUUCUCUCUUUCUGGAGGAAAUGGCUUAUUCAAGAAAGGUUUCUAACAAUCAUUUUAAUAGUGAGAAAAGUGCUAAUGGCCAAAUCUCUGAACUGACAUUCAAUUUCCAAUUGCUGUAAUUUUAUUUCUUACAGCCUCGCAGAGCAAACGUAUAUGCAUCAUAAAACACCAUUUUGAUGUCAAUCAAUGUAUGUAUGCAUAUACAUAUGUAUGUGUAUGAAAACUCUUACCCUUCAUAUGCACUAACAUGGAAUGUAAAAUGAAAACAUGGGUGUUUAAAGAAAUGAAAAUGU